Molecule: non-coding RNA, 205 nt
Organism: Oryza glaberrima (African rice)
Lineage: Eukaryota; Viridiplantae; Streptophyta; Magnoliopsida; Poales; Poaceae
Source: Rfam
AAAAAGACAAACAUUAGAUUUACGUGCCAACGUUUGACUGUUUGUUUUAUAUGAAAAUUUUUUAUAAUUAGUAUUUUUGUUAUUGUUAGAUGAUAAAACAUGAUUAAUACUUUAUGCAUGACUUAUCUUUUUAAAUUUUUUUAUAAUUUUUUCAAAUAAGACGGACGGUCAAAUGUUAGACAUGGAAAUAAGGGUUUAUCUUUUU